GUACACUCCUACGGGAGGCAGCAGUGGGGAAUAUUGGACAAUGGGCGCAAGCCUGAUCCAGCCAUGCCGCGUGAGUGAUGAAGGCCCUAGGGUUGUAAAGCUCUUUCACCGGUGAAGAUAAUGACGGUAACCGGAGAAGAAGCCCCGGCUAACUUCGUGCCAGCAGCCGCGGUAAUACGAAGGGGGCUAGCGUUGUUCGGAUUUACUGGGCGUAAAGCGCACGUAGGCGGACUAUUAAGUCAGGGGUGAAAUCCCGGGGCUCAACCCCGGAACUGCCUUUGAUACUGGUAGUCUUGAGUUCGAGAGAGGUGAGUGGAAUUCCGAGUGUAGAGGUGAAAUUCGUAGAUAUUCGGAGGAACACCAGUGGCGAAGGCGGCUCACUGGCUCGAUACUGACGCUGAGGUGCGAAAGCGUGGGGAGCAAACAGGAUUAGAUACCCGUGUAGUCCCAUGA
Molecule: ribosomal RNA, 453 nt
Filed under: uncultured organism
Description: partial 16S ribosomal RNA
Rfam family: Bacterial small subunit ribosomal RNA
Source: RNAcentral